This 68-nucleotide non-coding RNA is filed under the name unclassified sequences. RNAcentral describes it as "L2-Alphaproteobacteria ribosomal protein leader". It matches the Rfam family "L2-Alphaproteobacteria ribosomal protein leader". The record is from RNAcentral.
GGGGAUCUACGGAGCCCUAUAACCUCGGGUCCAAGUUAUCGGGCCCGCUAGCUGACGGAAGACAGAAA